Termitomyces sp. Mn162 is the source of this 90-nucleotide non-coding RNA. NCBI's taxonomy places the organism in Eukaryota, Fungi, Basidiomycota, Agaricomycetes, Agaricales, Lyophyllaceae. The record is from the annotation of a GenBank genome assembly.
GGGCACUUGGCACAGUUGGUAGCGCGCACGCUUCGCAUUGAUGAAUAGUCUGAUUGCGUGAGGUCGUGGGUUCAACUCCCACAGUGUCCA